This 118-nucleotide non-coding RNA is filed under the name Nomascus leucogenys (northern white-cheeked gibbon). Lineage: Eukaryota; Metazoa; Chordata; Mammalia; Primates; Hylobatidae. The record is from Rfam by way of RNAcentral.
GCCGGGUGUGGUGGCUCAUGCCUGUAAUCCCAGCACUUUUGGGAGGCUGAGGCGGGAGGAUCACCUGAGGUCAGGAGUUCAAGACCAGCCUGACCAACAUGGUGAAACCCCAUCUCUA